AUGGAGGGGAGCGGCGGCGGCGGCGAUCACUUCAUCCUCGUCCACGGCCUAGGCCACGGCGCGUGGUGCUGGUACAAGCUGGUGCCGAUGCUGCGCGCCGCGGGGCACCGUGUCACCGCGCUGGACAUGGCGGCGUCGGGCGUGCACCCGGCGGGCAUGGACGAGGUGGCGUCCUUCGAGGACUACUCGCGGCCGCUGCUCGACGCCGUGGCCGCGGCGCCCGCCGGCGAGAGGCUGGUCCUGGUCGGGCACAGCCUCGGCGGGCUCAACAUCGCGCUCGCCAUGGAGAGGCUCCCGCGCAAGGUCGCCGCGGCCGUGUUCCUCGACGCGUGCAUGCCGUGCGUCGGCAGGCACAUGGGCGUCACCAUGGAAGAGUUCUCCAGAAGAACCACGCCGGAAUUUUUCAUGGACAGCGAGAGGAUGGUUCUGGAGACGAGUCAGGGCCCUCGACCUGCUCUCGUGUUCGGCCCCAAAUUAUUGGCAGCAAAACUGUACGAUCGAAGCCCAGCUGAGGAUCUGACGCUGGCUACGAUGCUGGUGAGACCCGGCCGCCUGUUCGUGGACGACGCGAUGGUAAAGGACGAGACGCUGCUCACGGACGCCAACUACGCGUCGGUGAAGAAGGUGUACGUGGUGGCCAUGGAGGACGCUUCCUUCUCCGAGGAGAUGCAGCGCUGGAUGGUGGACCUCAGCCCCGGCACGGAGGCCGAGGAGAUCGCCGGAGCCGACCACAUGGCCAUGUUCUCCAAGACCAGGGAGCUCUGCGAUGUUCUGCUCAGGAUCGCCGGCAAAGCAUGA
RNAcentral lists this ribosomal RNA (798 nucleotides) under Triticum aestivum (bread wheat). RNAcentral's name for it is "partial small subunit ribosomal RNA". The record is from RNAcentral. Lineage: Eukaryota; Viridiplantae; Streptophyta; Magnoliopsida; Poales; Poaceae.